This 253-nucleotide ribosomal RNA is filed under the name uncultured bacterium. RNAcentral describes it as "partial 16S ribosomal RNA". It matches the Rfam family "Bacterial small subunit ribosomal RNA", at positions 524 to 776 of the family's 1533-position model. The record is from RNAcentral.
UACGGAGGGAGCAAGCGUUACUCGGAAUUAUUGGGCGUAAAGGGCGCGUAGGCGAUUUGAAAAGUCUUGCGUGAAAGCCCCGAGCUUAACUCGGGAAGUGCACAAGAAACUGUUGAAUUUGAGUUCCGGAGAGGAAGGCAGAAUUCCCGGUGUAGCGGUGAAAUGCGUAGAUAUCGGGAGGAAUACCAGUGGCGAAGGCGGCCUUCUGGACGGAUACUGACGCUGAGGCGCGAAAGCCAGGGGAGCAAACGGG